Non-coding RNA from Cinara cedri, 302 nucleotides. NCBI's taxonomy places the organism in Eukaryota, Metazoa, Arthropoda, Insecta, Hemiptera, Aphididae. The record is from the annotation of a GenBank genome assembly.
UUAAUAUGCCGAUAUUCACUACAGAUUAUCAUUGUCAAUUUGGCUUUUACACGUUUUAUUAUUAUUUGUUUUCAAUGCGUAUAUUUUACGAAUAUCGUCUAUUAACCAUGAAUAUGUGUUUUCAUUAUGAAUGUAGAUAUUUUGUUGGCGUUCUGAAAGAGCUUUACGCCCUCGGCACGCUACUGUGAUAAUACCGCGAUGAUACCGUACAAUAUAGUACACUCCGAAACCAUUUUGAUGAUACCCAAACGAUAUUAAUGUAAACUUUAUACAUUUUUGUAAUCGCUUAACAGUACACUUAU